Molecule: long non-coding RNA, 3132 nt
Filed under: Marmota monax (woodchuck)
Lineage: Eukaryota; Metazoa; Chordata; Mammalia; Rodentia; Sciuridae
Source: RNAcentral
GGGGACACUGGGGGCCUGAGGCUGGGGUGCAGGCAGCUCUCUGGAGAGAUGCAGGAAGCAGCCAAGCCCACCUGACCUGGCGAGGCCCGCCCCUCCUGACCUCCAGCUCCUGAGCUCUAAAAGGACCGGUGACCAGACAGGGACCUCCCCUUGAGCAGUCCACGCACCUGCACCCCGUGAGGAGUGGGGACACUCAUGCCAACCUCGGGCCAGAUGCACUUAUUUCCCUGUGGCAAAGGGAGACUGAGGAUUCUGGGGGGGCGGGGGGACCGGCCAGGCUGACGCUGGAGAAGCCAAAGCCCGGGGUUCAGAGCGGCUGCACGUCACGCAGCCCCUGUCGGCGUGAAUGGGGUAUAGAGGGACUGCGGACGGGGAUCCCAGUGGGUGUCGCUAUCCAGGGGGCUCCAAGGUCAGCACGGUGGAGACGGCAGCCUGGACAGAGGGGCACAGACCCCGGGUGACCCCACUCCAGACCUGGGGCUGGUGGGCUGAGGGCGGGCGGAGGGGACGUGCCCACGCUGGGUGAGGGCCUUGGCAGCUCUGAGGGGCCAGGAUCCGGGUGGUCCCCUGGAUGGGGCCUGGGACCAUUUCCCAGUGUCAUCUGGGCAUUGCUGGACACCUGCCUGGGGCUGGGGGGUGGGGGUGGGGCUGGUGGCCAGGGCUGGAGCUCAGCCGUGUCAGAGCCCUUCCUCGUCUGCCCCAGCUGUGUCCGAGCAGCGUGGCUGUGGUCAGCGGGGAAGGUAUCCACCAAGCCUCGGCAAGGCUGCCACAGGAGGAGGCCGGAUGGAGGUGGAGCCUGGGCCUCCAUCCCUCCUGACCCUCUGGGAGCCUGCAGGCCCUCUCCCCUCCACAGCCCUUGCCCAGGGGUCCGGGUGGGCUGCCCUGCAGUGGGCAGGUGGCUGCUGUUGGGAGGGAAGCUGCUGCCCUUCCCAGGGAGGCCGCUUCUCCCAGCCCCGGUCACCCCCUUCUUCUCCCAGCCCCGGUCACCCCCUGCCUGCGCUGGGCAGGUGAGGGUGAAGUCCAGGAGGCCCGCCUGGCAGUGGCCGUGGGAACGUGACGCUGCCUGGUGAAGCACAAGCCAGCAGUGACGGGUGACCCUUGAAGGGCGGACAGGAAGCCAGUGGCCCCGGCUCCGGCCACCAGCGGGCCUGGGCAGACACGGCUUCCUCUCCUGCCCGCGUGUGGGGAAGGAGCCAGCUCAGUUCCUGGGCUGGAGAGGAGAGGAAGGGCCGGGCGUGGAGGGAGCCGCCUCGCUCUCCGGCCCCGGAGCGGUUCUCGUGGGAACCCCAGGAGGAAGAGGUGUCUUGGCCCCCGUUUCCAAGGCCAGGGCCAGCAGAGGACACGGGGCUGGGGCAGCAGACCACCCUCCGCCCCGCAUGAGCUUCCCCAGGCACAGGUGCUGGGGGCCUGCGGCUUCCCGGGCUGAAUCCUCCGGAAUGGGGGGCUCGUCCAGUCUCCAGGGUGGGACCUGGAGGCUCAGGCCCGGGCACCCGGCCUUCUGCACCCUGCAGUGAGGGCUCCCCAUCUGCACCUGGCCUGCCCUGCAAGCACUUCCCCGGCAGGCGCAUCUCACCUGAGUGGGGGACGGGCAGAGAGCAGCUGGACCUGGGCAUCAGUGGGCAUCAGGAUCCCCCAACAGCGGAUGACCCUGUGAGACCUGAGCAGCUCUGAGGGGCCUAGCAGCAGAGGCCCCAGUGCUGUGGACCUGUGCAGCCAGGCCAGGCGGCCAGCGGGGCGGGUGGAGGUGCAGCCAGGAACCUGCUGGGGAGCAGGAGGCCAAGGCCACAGCCUGCAGGUGGGCGGCUGGCCUGUGGGAGGGAAUGCCCACCCUCUGGGGUCCUGGACUCCAGAGACAGCAGGGGGCCCUUGGGGCGUUGGAGUUUAUGCGGCCUGGGGACAGCAGCCUGGGGACAGCAGCCUCGGUGCUAUUGCCUGCCUGGCCAUCAACAGCCCUUGGUGAGUGCUGAGCUUCUGACCAGGCUGGUACGAUUCACUGGUCACCUGCAGCUCUGGGCUUGCUGGAAUCCACAGUGACACCAGGCAGCCCCCGCCCACGGGCUCACACGGGGGUCCGGGCAGGCCCAGCUCCCCUGUGGCCUUGCAGCCAGGAUGGGGUCCCUGCAGGUGAAGGUCCAGCUCCAUCACAGUCUCCUCCUGCACCACCAGAUGCUACCUGGCCCCCGAGUCCCUCGGCUGCCCAGGUGGGUCCUGAUGGCCGAGACCCCUUGUUAACCCUGUGGCCCUGGGAGCCUGCUCGGCCUCCUGCCUUUGCCCCUCUCUGCCGCUCCGGAGUUUUCUACGGCACCUGCAUGGAGUAGCUGACCCCUUCUCUCUGCUGGGCCCCAAGGCAGCACCCUUGAAGGCACAUCGGAGUCCCCUAGGGACACGGUGUCCUGCCCAGUGCAGACCAAUGAAAGUAGACUCCCUAGGCCUGGGGCCGGCUGUUCCUGUCCAGAGCCCUGGCCACCACCUCUCUGCCCAGGUCCACUCAAGCCUCUCCAUGCAGUGCCCACCGGCCCCACUGCCCCUCCUCCUGGCUGCUGCCUGCCCAGGGCCAGCAACUGCCUGAAAUUGCCUCCCCCUGUGAACCGGGGAGGGGGGUGUCGCCCUGUGUGGGAGACACCACCCUCGUUUCUGUCCCACUCCCUCCGCCACCCACACCCCUGAGUGCCCACCACAGCUGGGCUCUGUGGCCACCAUGGGUGCGGGUCAUCAUUAACGGAAGGGGGCGCAGGGUGGCCAGCAGAGCCCCACACACCCACGCAGGAGUAGAGGGACAGGUGGGGAGGAGCCACAGAUUGACCUCUGCCCCACCGCUCAGCGUCCGCGUCUCCCUGCCACUGUAUCCGCCUGCUGUCCACGGGGGGACCCAGGGCCCUCCUGUCCAGCUUGGCCUCCGUGUGGUCCUGAGCGGCACUGGAGGGAUUUGGGCGGCUCCACCAACGUCCUCUGGGGGCCCUUUGUCCAACCUGGCCUGCAGCUGCCUGGGCAGGUCCUGGCCAGAAGGUGGAGCCCUGGUGAUACCCCAAGGCCACUGUUGGGCUCCUUCCUACCCGGUGGAAGGACCGGGGUGUGCAGCGGGACUCACGGCACCACCCUCCUCUGCACCACCCUCCUGUCUGUAGUCUGGGC